Molecule: ribosomal RNA, 119 nt
Filed under: Pteropus alecto (black flying fox)
Lineage: Eukaryota; Metazoa; Chordata; Mammalia; Chiroptera; Pteropodidae
Source: RNAcentral
GUCUACAGCCAUGCUACCCCGCACAAGCCCGAUCCCAUCUGAUCUCGGAAGCUAAGCAGGGUCGGGCCUAGUUAGUACUUGAAUGGGAGACCACCUAGGAAGACCAGGUACUAUAGGCU